CCGGGGGGGGGGCGCAGCGGGGCGGUGUCCCAGCCUUUCCCACCGGCAAUCAGCUCUGCGCAGGCCACGCGAUCUUCAGUGACACUAACCAGCCGCUGCCCGCUCCGGAGUCAGAAGGGAACAGACUCGCAGGCUAUAGAGUAUGGGGUAACGUCAUACACCUGCUUUGGCAGUGGCUUCUCCCCGGACACCUGCGGUGACCUCCCGGGUUUUUAAAGGACAAGGGCCUCAUGCAAGAAUGCAGCACUUUGAAGCCAGGGGAUGGUAAUUAAAAUGCAAAGCAGGACUGCUGAAAUGACCAAGAGCCUCCAAGGGAUGCGACGUUCUCCCUGCAGAUAAUCAAGGUUUCACUGGUUUGGCAGAAUGCUAAAUAGAACCCAGGGACGGGAAGACAACAGCAGAGCAAAGAGCCAAGAGCACGGCCCAGCGACAGAUGCUGCCCAAGCACUCCCCACGCGGAGACACUCUGGAGUGGGCGGUGGGGGCAGAGCAGAAA
Phyllostomus hastatus (greater spear-nosed bat) is the source of this 496-nucleotide long non-coding RNA. RefSeq lists it as uncharacterized. The record is from RefSeq and is a predicted model, not a curated record. Lineage: Eukaryota; Metazoa; Chordata; Mammalia; Chiroptera; Phyllostomidae. The transcript has 3 exons.